Molecule: small RNA, 505 nt
Filed under: Pongo abelii (Sumatran orangutan)
Lineage: Eukaryota; Metazoa; Chordata; Mammalia; Primates; Hominidae
Description: processed transcript
Source: RNAcentral
CUGUUUUAUAUGUGCUUCCCAGUCCUGUGGUUCUGCUAUACCGGGGACGCUGAGUCCCCACAGACCUGGAAAAUUGCGGCCCCUCUUUCUCAACCCAGAGCAAAUUGAGACGUCCGGGCUGGAGUGUGAUGGUGCCAUCUCGGCUCACUGCAACCUCCGUCUUUUGGGUUCAAGCUCUUCUCCUGCCUCAGCCCCCAAGUAGCUGGGAUUACAAGUGCCUGCCACCAAGCCUGGCUAAUUUUUGUAUUUCUAGUGGAGACGGGGUUUCACCAUGUUGGUCAGGAUGGUCUUGAACUCCUGACCUCAGGUGAUCCACCCACCUCAGCCUCAGAAAGUGCUGGGAUUACAGGCAUGAGCCACUGCACCUGGACAAUUUUAGGUUGUUUCAAUGUGUACUUUAUAAAGAUAUCAAGGACCUAUUUUGUUUGUUUUGAGAUGGAGUUUUGCUCUUAUUGCCCAGGCUGGAGUGCAAUGGCACGAUCUUGGCUCACCACACCCUCUACCU